Long non-coding RNA from Lingula anatina, 370 nucleotides. NCBI's taxonomy places the organism in Eukaryota, Metazoa, Brachiopoda, Lingulata, Lingulida, Lingulidae. The record is from RefSeq and is a predicted model, not a curated record.
UCUUUUCAGCAUCCUAACAAAAAUUUAGCAACGCCAAAAUUUGUUAGGGUUUUGCCAUAAAGCGACCCUAUUUUCAAUUAAAAGAUUAUCGGUGAAGUGAAAGUUAUGCUAUUCUGACGAAAAAACUGCACGAGACUUCAAAACCUGGUCAAGAUCAAAGAUCAAAGAGGAAGGCAGCAGGAGGGUGGUGCAAACAUGUAAACUUUCAUAUAUGUGAAUCGAUUUUGCACAGGGUAUUUGUACAUGUGCUUGUCUGGUCCAGCUUGACUAACAUUCCAAUAUGGCUCAUGCAAGAUCAGACUCACCCCUGGGAAGUAAUGCAAGGGGAUCACCAAUAUCUUCACACAGAAUGUCAGGCUCUGUGAAAAAG